Molecule: small nuclear RNA, 97 nt
Organism: Oryctolagus cuniculus (rabbit)
Lineage: Eukaryota; Metazoa; Chordata; Mammalia; Lagomorpha; Leporidae
Source: Ensembl
GCUCACUUCGGCAGCACAUAUUGAAACAAUACAGAGAAGAUUAGCAUGGCCCCUGUGCAAGGAUGACAUGCAAAUUCGUGAAACAUUCCAUAUUUUA